UUAAAAACUUUAGCGCUACGCAUCAGCAGGGGAAGCCUGUUGGUUCACGAGGUAUCAGGUCGUCGAAAAUUCAGCGGAUGCCUGGUCGUAGAUACGGACUGCGUAAUAUAACUACAAAUAUGAUGGAGACGUCAAAACAAAAGGUUAUAAUCCGUAAAU
Molecule: non-coding RNA, 159 nt
Filed under: Roseburia sp. CAG:197
Lineage: Bacteria; Bacillati; Bacillota; Clostridia; Lachnospirales; Lachnospiraceae
Also listed under: 1 other name
Description: glmS glucosamine-6-phosphate activated ribozyme aptamer
Rfam family: glmS glucosamine-6-phosphate activated ribozyme aptamer
About the family: This entry contains a glucosamine-6-phosphate activated ribozyme that is found in the mRNA for GlmS. GlmS is an enzyme that uses fructose-6-phosphate and glutamine to generate glucosamine-6-phosphate.
Source: Rfam by way of RNAcentral